CGGGGUGAGUAAUGUCUGGGAAACUGCCUGAUGGAGGGGGAUAACUACUGGAAACGGUAGCUAAUACCGCAUAAUGUCUGCGGACCAAAGAGGGGGACCUUCGGGCCUCUUGCCAUCGGAUGUGCCCAGAUGGGAUUAGCUAGUAGGUGGGGUAACGGCUCACCUAGGCGACGAUCCCUAGCUGGUCUGAGAGGAUGACCAGCCACACUGGAACUGAGACACGGUCCAG
RNAcentral lists this ribosomal RNA (229 nucleotides) under uncultured bacterium. Its description in RNAcentral is "partial 16S ribosomal RNA". It matches the Rfam family "Bacterial small subunit ribosomal RNA", at positions 104 to 334 of the family's 1533-position model. The record is from RNAcentral.